GUCCACACCGUAAACGUUGGGCGCUAGGUGUGGGACUCAUUCCACGAGUUCCGUGCCGCAGCUAACGCAUUAAGCGCCCCGCCUGGGGAGUACGGCCGCAAGGCUAAAACUCAAAGGAAUUGACGGGGGCCCCGCACAAGCGGCGGAGCAUGCGGAUUAAUUCGAUGCAACGCGAAGAACCUUACCUGGGUUUGACAUACACCGGAAAGCUGCAGAGAUGUAGCCCCUUUUAGUCGGUGUACAGGUGGUGCAUGGCUGUCGU
Molecule: ribosomal RNA, 262 nt
Filed under: uncultured bacterium
Lineage: Bacteria
Description: partial 16S ribosomal RNA
Rfam family: Bacterial small subunit ribosomal RNA
Source: RNAcentral